CCAAGGACACACUAGAAAAGGAAGAUCUUCCAGGAGUAUCCGGGUCUCCUGGGCCUGAUCCUGGCCAACCCAGCCCCUCUCAGCCCCUUAAAUGCAACCCAGGAGAAGACAAUCUGGCCACAGCUGCUGGGGGCGAGGCAGUUAACUGCUACGGAGACUUCAACUACUUGCAGUCUUGGCUCUGCCAAUGGGUUUCACCACUAUGAAGGGCACAGGCUUUCCUAGCCAAUGCCAUUCUCCUCCUCCAGUAGUCUGAGGGGGUCCACUGGCCGAGGGCCAGUGUGGCCUAGGAGAGGAACCUGAUGGCUCCAGUGCAAAUGUUAAAGGAGGGUCUGGAGCUGUCCCCUGAGCAAGUGUCAUUACAGCCAAAUGUUUGCCUUCAUUCCUUCAGGGCCUGCAUAGAAACUAUGCAGGAGUCCCUAUUAUACUACAGUGUGAAGAAUCAAAAGGUGAAAUGAACAUAAACUUGGCAGGCUUAAAUAAUCUUCAUCCUUUGGGAGCCCCAUUGCAAAGCCACCCUGCCAGCUCCUUUAUAAGAGAACAUUUGGCAAGAAGCUACCACCCUAAGCAGGGACACGAAGGAGUUCUGAUAUCAGAGAGGCAGCAGCUGAGGCGCUGCACAGACCAGCCUCCCAGCUCUCUUGAGUCUGUGAAGGAAGAGUGGAGCUCUGAGAAAGAACAGCAACACACGACCUCUUCCAAUGAUUCCUCUUAGCAGCACAAGGCACCAAGACAGCUGUGCAUGGAGAAUAGCCCUGGGCCCGAGUGGCUGACAGUCCCAAGGCCAGAGAAUCUCAGCUCAGCUCAGCCACUUGGCUCUCAGACCCCAAGGAAAGCAAAUAAUGCUGGGCCAGGGUGGCAGCUUGGAGGAGAGACCAGUGCCCCAGCCAGGCUCAUCAUCAAGGGGCUCAUGUCCACUAGAUGCUGCUUAGAGAACACACUCUCACUUGAAUAAAGAUUGUGUAAAGGGGAUAUGGGAUAGGGUCCCACUAGAGUCAUGCCGUAUGGUACCAGCUCCGUCCCAAGGCAGCAGCAGCCCUCCCAGCCUCUUUAGAAGGGACGUCCUGUGACUCACCACCAAGGGAGACGAGUUUCUCUGCACCGAGGGGCACGGCCCCCUUUUUAGGGACACAAUCCAGGGCACAAAGUUAAUGUAUGUGACACCAGAUCCAUCAAACUAAGGCCUGGGGUAUAGCCCAGAGGUGUGCAAGGCCCUGGGUUCCAUCCCCUGUACCUCCCUUCCCCCACAGUAUCCAGAUUAACCAAACUGCUCACCAGGAGGCCAGCCCAUCAUGUGGGCCCAUGGAGCUGCAGGCAAACGCAGGAAUGUUCUCUUUUCGGCCAGUGACUGGCUACAGUGGGCAGAGAUAAUCCUUAGCCAACACUGUGGUCAGAAGGAAUUCAUUUCAGUGUAUGACUCUAUCCCUUGGCUCGCAUUUAAAACACGAAUCAACUAAUUAAGAAUUCAGUCACUCAAGAAUACCUGUGGAUAGGAAUUUCACUAUACAGGGUGAAUCUGAUAUUAAAGUAAGACAAGGAGACGCACAGAAAGUGGCCACAGCACACAUUUGGUUUCUCCCUGGCAGCCUCUGGCAUCAGUCAUAUCCGAGACAGGAGGACCAGGGGGCAUUGCCUGCUGGGCUCUGCUACUCAGGGACAGAGGGGAAGAGAGAUAGUUGGCUCCCUGGAAGGCAGGGACUGGCAGUCCCAAGGUUCCCUCCUUUUAAAAACAUAGAUCUAGAAAUGCCCUCUCAGCCCAGAGGACAGAGCCCACCUCCUGUUCUGAUAAAUACACAUACCCAGUGGGGAAAGGGGGAGGGGGCGGGUGGCCUCCAUACCCCGUGUUUACCAAGGAGCCCUGUGGAAAGUUUCCAUUUGGCAUCUGUGUAGCAGCAUCUUGGGUUAGCAAGAGCAAGGGUGGGCGGUGGGGACCAGCACCUGUGCUCCGGGCUUGGGGGGGAGGAGGGCUGGCUGAGCUGACACCCCAGGCUGGAGGAAUGCCAGGAUGAAGUCAACUUGCUUCUUGCCAAUGAUAAACCAUGGGUUUCAAAUUCAUUAACAUUCAUUUGGGUGAUCGAAAUUCCUUAGGGUGGGAGCAAAAAAAAAAAAAUCACAUUCCCAAGCAAAUGUUAAACUUUCCUAGGGGAAAAGGGAAUGGUUAAACAUUAAAUUCUCAGAACAACACUGAAUGCAGACCUGAGACCGCAGGUCCCUCUUGCAGCCUACACCCCACACUGACGACAGACUUGGCGGGUUCUGAAGUGACAUGGUUUUCUUCAUUCAUCCAUCAAGUUCCACAGCGACACCCACGGGGGCCCAGAAGAAGGCUGUCCCUUCUGGGGAGGGCCAAGGAAGGCCACUGGAGGGGACAAGUCCAUCCUGUUAGGGUCAUAUCAUAGGGUCACAGCAGAGUUCAACCAGAACAACCUGAAACUCUGCAAAAAAGACACUUU
This is a long non-coding RNA of Dipodomys spectabilis (banner-tailed kangaroo rat), 2453 nucleotides long. RefSeq lists it as uncharacterized. The transcript is spliced from 3 exons. The record is from RefSeq and is a predicted model, not a curated record. Lineage: Eukaryota; Metazoa; Chordata; Mammalia; Rodentia; Heteromyidae.